This 422-nucleotide ribosomal RNA is filed under the name uncultured bacterium. Its description in RNAcentral is "bacterial SSU rRNA". It matches the Rfam family "Bacterial small subunit ribosomal RNA", at positions 355 to 774 of the family's 1533-position model. The record is from RNAcentral.
UGAGGAACAUUGGUCAAUGGGGGCAACCCUGAACCAGCCAAGUCGCGUGAAGGAUGAAGGUCUUAUGGAUUGUAAACUUCUUUUAUACAGGAAUAAAUUGGGGGACGUGUCCCCUUUUGCAUGUACUGUAUGAAUAAGGAUCGGCUAACUCCGUGCCAGCAGCCGCGGUAAUACGGAGGAUCCGAGCGUUAUCCGGAUUUAUUGGGUUUAAAGGGUGCGCAGGCGGGAUGUUAAGUCGGCGGUGAAAUGUUGCAGCUCAACUGUAAAAGUGCCUUCGAUACUGGCCUCCUUGAGUGUGGAGGAAGUAGGCGGAAUUUGUGGUGUAGCGGUGAAAUGCUUAGAUAUCACGAGGAACUCCGAUUGCGCAGGCAGCUUACUAAGCCACAACUGACGCUCAUGCACGAAGGCGUGGGGAUCAAACA